This 414-nucleotide long non-coding RNA is filed under the name Mytilus galloprovincialis (Mediterranean mussel). The record is from RNAcentral. Lineage: Eukaryota; Metazoa; Mollusca; Bivalvia; Mytilida; Mytilidae.
UAAACAUGGAAAAUAUCUUCACAUUUAAAAUAUGUUAGAGCUGGAGGGGGACAGAGCUGCUAUACAAACAGACACAAUAACACUCAGUUUCGUAUUGAUUAAAAAUAGUUCUUUAACUAGUAUACUCCAAUGCUUCACUUACCUGUUGUCAGCCAUCAUCGACACUUUUUGCAAAUUCCGUUUAUACAGUUCAAAUUUGUCACAAAUUCCUCCAUAUAGUGAAUAUAGUUUAUUCAUAUUUUAUUAUGGGGCCGGAUCGACUUGGGGACGGAUCGACGUGGGCUGGAUCGACUUGGGCCGGAUCGACUUUGGGCCGGAUUGACUUGGGGCCAGAUCGGUUUGGGGCCGGAACGACCGGAUACCUUGAAAACAAUCAAUACAUGCAACAGAAAACAGCUUACCCUACCAUGCCCG